ACAAACUUGGUCAUUUAGAGGAAGUAAAAGUCGUAACAAGGUUUCCGUAGGUGAACCUGCGGAAGGAUCAUUACUGAGAGUAACUCUUUAUAAGAGUGCCUCCCGUCCUUUGCAGGCCCCUAGUGGGGGCUUUUUGAUUUUGCUUCGGCGGGGUUACCCCGCCGGAACACCCUCAAAAAAAUCUCGAAAAAAACUGUUCCGUCCGAGAACUUUUGCGAAUAAUCAAAACUUUCAACAACGGAUCUCUUGGUUCUGGCAUCGAUGAAGAACGCAGC
RNAcentral lists this unclassified non-coding RNA (275 nucleotides) under uncultured fungus. RNAcentral's name for it is "partial contains small subunit ribosomal RNA, internal transcribed spacer 1, and 5.8S ribosomal RNA". The stretch from base 1 to 73 matches the Rfam family "Eukaryotic small subunit ribosomal RNA", at positions 1759 to 1831 of the family's 1831-position model. The record is from RNAcentral. Lineage: Eukaryota; Fungi.